AGUGCAUUGGAUUUAAGCUCCAAAUAUAAAGUCCAAGACUUUCAUUAGAACCA
Molecule: transfer RNA, 53 nt
Filed under: Coptotermes sepangensis
Lineage: Eukaryota; Metazoa; Arthropoda; Insecta; Blattodea; Rhinotermitidae
Description: partial transfer RNA-Leu
Source: RNAcentral